AGGGCUGCGGUAAUUUGACCGUGCGAAGGUAGCAUAGUCAUUAGUCUCUUAAUUGGGGGCUUGUAUGAAAGGUCGGAUGAGAAAUCGGCUGUCUUUCCUGUGACGCGAAUUUAACCUUUAAGUGAAAAGGCUUAGAUUUCUUAGGGGGACGAUAAGACCCUAUAAAACUUGAUAUAAUGGAGUGUAAACCUGGCUUUGAGAGUGUAUAUUUCGUUGGGGAGAUGUUUGUAUAAUUUGUAACUGCUUUGUAAAUUAAAUGGUUAAUGGCCAGUUUAUGAUCCUUUCCUAAAGAUUUAAAGACUAAGUUACUUUAGGGAUAACAGCGUGAUUGUCUUUGAGAGUUCUUAUCGACAGGAUUAGUUGCGACCUCGAUGUUGAAUUAAGAUUUCGGAUUGGUGUAGCCGCUUUUCUGGUGGGUCUGUUCGACCUUUAAAA
RNAcentral lists this ribosomal RNA (435 nucleotides) under Pontonia pinnophylax. RNAcentral's name for it is "partial 16S ribosomal RNA". It matches the Rfam family "Bacterial large subunit ribosomal RNA", at positions 1927 to 2593 of the family's 2925-position model. The record is from RNAcentral. Lineage: Eukaryota; Metazoa; Arthropoda; Malacostraca; Decapoda; Palaemonidae.